AGACAAAACGGAAAAGAUGACAUUUAUUCUAUACUUUUUUGAAAUAAUUUUUCAACAAUGGUGCUUGAAGUUUUGUGACUCAUCAAGCCAAGAGGAAGAAUUUCAGGGAAGAAAAUGACAUCUUUUGAAUUUUCAAGGGUUUCAGAUUUCUCAUCUUCUGGGGAAACGGCAUAGUCCAGAAAAUAGACCAAAAGAAGAGUCAGAGAGACCAGCAAGAACGGUCUCCUGGGCAGAGCCCCAGAGAGGGAGGCAGAGAGGCAAGUAGGGGAUAAGUUCACCAACCCCACGUCCCAUCCCAUCUUUAUAGCAGCCCUAACUCUACACCAGAGUUUAUAGAAAGUUCCUUGAGAAUGAGUUACAGAAAAAGAAAAAGGUGGUGUGUGUUGUCUGUGUGUGUUGAGUAGUGGUGUGUGUGUGUGUGUGUGUGUGUGUGUGUGUGUGUGUGUGUGGUGUUGAUGGAUUGGGGUGGAAAAUAACCAAAAGAGAGAGAGAUGUGGGAUCUCAGAAUCAGGAAAAGCAACCACAGAGAAGGGAAGCCAAGGAUGAGCGCUGGGCUUCCAGCUGGGCAUAUGCAGCAGACCUAGAGAGCCUCUAAUCCAGACUGGAAUGAGAAGUCGAGGGCUCUGUGGACAGGGGACUUGAUGUCAUACCUCAUAUGAAGCACAAUUUGAAAGACACUGAGGGAUGAUUGAAAAUAAACAGUGCAAGAGGGAGUUCCUGCCAUGGCUCAGGGGAAACAAAUCCGACAACUAUCCAUGAGGGCUCAGGUUCAAUCCCUGGCCUCGCUCAGUGGGUUAAGGAUCCAGCAUUGCCGUGAGCUGUGGUGUAGGUCAAGGACACAGCUCAGAUCCUGUUGUUGUGGCUGUGGUGUAGGCUGGCAGCUACAGCUUCAAUUCGACCCCUAGCCUGGGAACUUCCCCAUGCUGUGGUGGGGCCCUAAAAAGACAAAAAACAAAACAAACAGUUCGAGGGGUAAAGACAAAGGCAGAUGGAAACUCCAGAAAAAAACUAAAGCUGUGCUAAAAACCAUGUGCAACUAUUUGGUAUAAGUUGGCUCUAAGAAAACAUUGCAAGAAUGUAAACCUUUUUUUAAAAAUUUUUAUAAUAAAUUUAUUUGCAACACCUCAUUUCCCAUGUUGAUUAUUUCGAUUAUUUUUUUUCUUUUUUAGGGCCACACCCACAGCAUAUGGAGCUUCCCAGGCUAGGGGUCUAA
RNAcentral lists this long non-coding RNA (1213 nucleotides) under Sus scrofa (pig). Its description in RNAcentral is "lncRNA (ENSSSCG00025053375.1)". The record is from RNAcentral. Lineage: Eukaryota; Metazoa; Chordata; Mammalia; Artiodactyla; Suidae.